This 58-nucleotide transfer RNA is filed under the name Dipodomys ordii (Ord's kangaroo rat). It matches the Rfam family "tRNA", at positions 8 to 63 of the family's 71-position model. Rfam says of the family: Transfer RNA (tRNA) molecules are approximately 80 nucleotides in length. Their secondary structure includes four short double-helical elements and three loops (D, anti-codon, and T loops). The record is from Rfam by way of RNAcentral. Lineage: Eukaryota; Metazoa; Chordata; Mammalia; Rodentia; Heteromyidae.
UGGCUCAGUGGUAGAGUGCUUGCCUUGCAUGUAAGAAGCCCUGGGUUCAAUUCCUCAG